CACUCUGGAGAGUAGGCCCGCAACCGCGCGGCCUCGCCGAAGGCAGCAUGGCCAGUCAAUACUGCGCCGCAAUCUCUCAGGCAAAGGGACAGAGGG
Molecule: non-coding RNA, 96 nt
Filed under: Vogesella sp. LIG4
Lineage: Bacteria; Pseudomonadati; Pseudomonadota; Betaproteobacteria; Neisseriales; Chromobacteriaceae
Also listed under: 1 other name
Description: Glycine riboswitch aptamer
Rfam family: Glycine riboswitch aptamer
About the family: This family represents the bacterial glycine riboswitch. Glycine riboswitches usually consist of two metabolite-binding aptamers domains with similar structures in tandem.
Source: Rfam by way of RNAcentral